This 220-nucleotide small nucleolar RNA is filed under the name Candidozyma auris. Lineage: Eukaryota; Fungi; Ascomycota; Pichiomycetes; Serinales; Metschnikowiaceae. The record is from RNAcentral.
AACUUUGUCCAAAAGUAUCCAUCACAAUAGACAGUGCAUCGGUACAUCUGGACAGGCACCUUGGAACUUCAGGGCAGUUUUUGCUUUGAGUCCUUCUGGAGCCUCUCCUGAACGCUGUUGUAAAUGAAUGCGAUAGAUGAUGGAAAGAUUGACUGAAUCCAUUAAGAACCUGUCUGGAUCGAGAGAUCUGAAAGAGAGGUGUCAGAGGGCUCAAACAUUA